GAUGAACGCUGGCGGCGUGCCUAAUACAUGCAAGUCGAGCGAACAGACGAGGAGCUUGCUCCUCUGACGUUAGCGGCGGACGGGUGAGUAACACGUGGAUAACCUACCUAUAAGACUGGGAUAACUUCGGGAAACCGGAGCUAAUACCGGAUAAUAUAUUGAACCGCAUGGUUCAAUAGUGAAAGACGGUUUUGCUGUCACUUAUAGAUGGAUCCGCGCCGCAUUAGCUAGUUGGUAAGGUAACGGCUUACCAAGGCAACGAUGCGUAGCCGACCUGAGAGGGUGAACGGCCACACGGGAACUGAGACACGGUCCAGACUCCGACGGGAAGCAGCAGUAGGGAAUCUUCCGCAAUGGGCGAAAGCUUGACGGAGCAACGCCGCGUGAGUGAUGAAGGUCUUCGGAUCGUAAAACUCUGUUAUUAGGGAAGAACAAAUGUGUAAGUAACUAUGCACGUCUUGACGGUACCUAAUCAGAAAGCCACGGCUAACUACGUG
RNAcentral lists this ribosomal RNA (497 nucleotides) under uncultured bacterium. RNAcentral describes it as "partial 16S ribosomal RNA". It matches the Rfam family "Bacterial small subunit ribosomal RNA", at positions 28 to 507 of the family's 1533-position model. The record is from RNAcentral.